Molecule: transfer RNA, 73 nt
Filed under: Myxococcales bacterium
Lineage: Bacteria; Pseudomonadati; Myxococcota; Myxococcia; Myxococcales
Description: tRNA-Asn
Rfam family: tRNA
About the family: Transfer RNA (tRNA) molecules are approximately 80 nucleotides in length.
Source: RNAcentral
UCCUCAGUAGCUCAGUCGGUAGAGCAGCUGACUGUUAAUCAGCGGGUCGUUCGUUCGAGUCGAACCUGGGGAG